Non-coding RNA from Triticum urartu, 135 nucleotides. The record is from Rfam. NCBI's taxonomy places the organism in Eukaryota, Viridiplantae, Streptophyta, Magnoliopsida, Poales, Poaceae.
CAGCUACUCCCUCUGUUCCGAAUUACUUGUCUUAGAUUUGUCUAGAUACGGAGGUAUCUAGCACUAAAAGGAGUCUAGAUCCAUCCGUAUCUACACAAAUCCAAGACAAGUAAUUCGGAACGGAGGGAGUAGAUG